Molecule: non-coding RNA, 129 nt
Organism: Oryza glaberrima (African rice)
Lineage: Eukaryota; Viridiplantae; Streptophyta; Magnoliopsida; Poales; Poaceae
Source: Rfam
UUUAAGUGCAACCAUAAGUUUUUGAGUCCAACUUUAAUUGUCCGUCUUAUUUUAAAUAUAUUUGUGCCUAGUAUUUUAAGCAAGACAAAUGAUUAAAGUUGGACACGAAGAGAGUACGUUGUCGUCAUC